This is a long non-coding RNA of Arachis stenosperma, 304 nucleotides long. RefSeq lists it as uncharacterized. The transcript has 3 exons. NCBI's taxonomy places the organism in Eukaryota, Viridiplantae, Streptophyta, Magnoliopsida, Fabales, Fabaceae. The record is from RefSeq and is a predicted model, not a curated record.
UCUCUCUCUCUGUGUGUUGAGCACCACUCUCAGUGCGUAGUGCGAACGUACCCUUGCCGCCGUGGACUUUGCCGUCGCCAUGGCCGAUCCGUCACUCACUAAAAAAUUCAAGAUCUCAUUGCCGUCACUUUCUUUCUCCGUCGCUGCCGGCUGAAAUUCAAGGAGCAUAUGCAGUACUGGAGUAGAUAAGCAAGCUUGCCAAGGUUCAGAAAAAGGUCUCUGAAGUUAAGAGUGUCAUGAUUUAGAAUAUUGAAAAGGCUGUAGAAACGUGAGAACUUUGUUUCAAUUAGAUAUGCAGUUUUAU